AUGCUCGCUUCGGCAGCACAUAUACUAAAAUUGGAAUGAUACAGGAAGAUUAGCAUGGCCCCUGCACAAGGAUGACACGCAAAUUCGUGAAGCAUUCCAUAUUUUU
This 106-nucleotide small nuclear RNA is filed under the name Piliocolobus tephrosceles (Ugandan red Colobus). Lineage: Eukaryota; Metazoa; Chordata; Mammalia; Primates; Cercopithecidae. The record is from RNAcentral.